This 270-nucleotide ribosomal RNA is filed under the name uncultured archaeon. Its description in RNAcentral is "partial 16S ribosomal RNA". It matches the Rfam family "Archaeal small subunit ribosomal RNA", at positions 477 to 747 of the family's 1478-position model. The record is from RNAcentral.
CAGCACCUCAAGUGGUCAGGAUGAUUAUUGGGCCUAAAGCAUCCGUAGCCGGCGCUGUAAGUUUUCGGUUAAAUCUGUACGCUCAACGUACAGGCUGCCGGGAAUACUGCAGCGCUAGGGAGUGGGAGAGGUAGACGGUACUCGGUAGGAAGGGGUAAAAUACUUUGAUCUAUUGAUGACCACCUGUGGCGAAGGCGGUCUACCAGAACACGUCCGACGGUGAGGGAUGAAAGCUGGGGGAGCAAACCGGAUUAGAUACCCGAGUAGUCC